RNAcentral lists this long non-coding RNA (2050 nucleotides) under Mus musculus (house mouse). RNAcentral's name for it is "long non-coding RNA chrX:71970667-71972717". The record is from RNAcentral. Lineage: Eukaryota; Metazoa; Chordata; Mammalia; Rodentia; Muridae.
AUGUGUGUGUGUGUGUGUGUGAGAGAGAGAGAGAGAGAGAGAAAGACAGGUAGAAAAUGAAUGUGUGUGUCUGUGUGUGCUUGUGUACAUGUGUGUGUGUGUGUGAGAGAGAGAGAGAGACAGGUGGAAAAUGAAUGUGUGUGUCUCUGUGUGCUUGUGUGCAUGUGUGUGUGUGUGUGUGUGUGUGUGUAGAUGUGUGACUAUUGACUUAGAUACUUUUCACUAAAAAUGAAAAGGCUUUAAAAUAUGACUGUCACUUGUUUUCAAACAAAUCCUUUUUAAGACUUUUUAAACAAGAAUGGCAACCCUGUAUGUCCCCUCCCAGACUGCCCAUCACUUUGGGUUUUCAAAAUGAAAGCACAAGAGAAAGAGUGGGGCGCACAGGUGCCUGGCAUGUGCAUACCCUUGCACAGCUCUGUGUUGCGCCCUGGCUGAGCAGUUCCACCCAGGAAACUGAGGCCUCCUCUGCUACUUGCCAAUUCCACUGCCAUUAGUGUGAAUUCCUUAGGGUGCUCCAGCAAACAAGCAUCUGCCCAAUUGUUUCGAUAUUGUCUUUUUGGUAGUUCAAACACUAGGGAUUAGGGGCAGCAGUGUUUUUUGUUUAAGCAGUUAGAGCCAGAUGCUUCCUCUCUCCCACUGGAUGGUAACUCUCCAGAUCCCAGACAGAGUUGACAGAUCUUUUGACAAGCAAAUGGCAUCCCAUGAGAAAACCAAGAAAAAAAAUCCAAUAUUGCCACUAGAUUGUCUUUUAAUUCAAGUGGGAGGAAGAUGGCAGAGAGAGGCUGAGUUGCCAGGACAGUGUCUUUGGAACAGAGUGUGUGCUCUGACUGUGUGUCUGCUCAGUCAAUCCUGAGCUGCUGGGUCGGGCUGCUUUUCAGCCUGUCAAGUGCUGAAGCUCCAUUCACGGGCGUCACCGAUCUUCCCCACUGAAAUCUCCUAAUACUAAUCAGUAUAAUUAGCUAAUUUUAGACUGCUGCAAUGAAAUUGCUUCCAAGUACAGUAAAAGCCCAUUAAUUUGAGCACACUAAUUCAGAACUUAGAGGAAAUCCAAAUCGAGAUAAUUCACAGUAACUGUUAUUCUUGCUAUAUAAAAAUAUUUGAAAGCGUCUUCCCUUCAUUCAGUCUUCAUCUGUAUAAAAGGAAUUCUGUUUAAAAUGGGUACCUUUUUCAAAGGAAAUGCUCAAGGUACCAAGGAUCCCUUCAUUGUGCCUUCAGCUUGGAGUUUAGCAGUUCUUGUGUCUAAGGCUCUUUCUGUGCAGGGUGAUCCCUUGUUCUCUCUCCAUUGUGGGGAUGUUAGAUAUUAAAGCCUUUCACUCCAUGUCUGUAUUUAUCCUGUGAUUAAAUUAGUUUGUGAUCUUGACUGCAGUUUAAAUACAAGUAUGUGUCUUUGUAAGUGUUCUGUAAAGCAGACGUUGCACUAACAGACCGCCUGCUCUCAUUUACCCUCAAGUCUUCAAACUUUAGAGUGUCUCCUUUCCCAGGCUGUGGAAGGAGAAUCUCUCUCUAGGAAGAAUUUCUGUGACAAAGAUCUCCAAAUAGCACACGCCCUCAGCUCCAUGCCUCAACCGUUGUUUCACUGUACUGCUAUCUGACUGCUGAACGUGCCUGCCCUUCUCCAGCCCCCAGCGAGCAUAAAGACUGAUAGCUAGGAUUGGGACCAACCCUCCAGCUGCUUUUUGCCACCCAACCUGUCUUGCCUCUCUGAUGCCAUUUUCCCAGACCUGAAUUCACCUGCUGUUUUACUCUGUCAUUGUGAAUUUGUGACAAUGGCAACCCCGAGCUUCUAGAAAUGAUUACUGUGAAAUGGAUUAAUUUUGGUACCAUUUGAAACUGUGCUCAUACUCAUGUCUUGACUGAUGUCAGCUGGAGCGUCUGUACAUUUAGUCAUAUGUUGGGAUUUCAAAUGGGGCCUAGGGGCAACAAACCAACUUGCUUCUGAUCUUUCUCACGCACGCUUUCUGGCUCCCUUUUUACAAUUGUUGAGUUUAGCUGUUAACUUUUGUCUCUUUCUGUAUAAGAAAAUAAUGAUUAAAAAUAAAGAUCACAUGGC